GGCUCCGCCUCCGCCUCUAACCCCUCCCCGCCGGGCCCGGACCACGCUAGCCGCUGCCUAGCCCGGGCUCCCGGCAGGAGGGCGCCCGGGCCCAGUACCCGAGUGCCCCGGUCUCUAGAGGGCUACGGAGCGCGUCUGCCUCCAGGACCGGGUAUUUGACUGAGCAGCCUGCGAAGUAGAGCGCGGAAGGUCCGCAGUGGGUGCGGCGCGGCGCAGUCGGGGCUAGCCCACUUGCUCAGCGUAGCUUUUCUAGAGCGUCGGGGGUCUCGAGGGGCCGGGGUUGGACAGCAGCUGCGCGACUCCGAGGGACUCUUCUCUGCAGAUCCAGGCCCGCACCUAUCUGCAGAUGUUCUUCCAUAGAGCAAUUCUCUGCACUUCUUAGAAACAACUGUUGCUUAUACAACUGUUGCUUAUAGCAGAAGACAGCCUUUAUCUCUUCCAGUGAUCCACAGACUUGAUGAAAUCAGUUCGGGCCUCAGAGAGAAGAUGAAUUGUAAGCAAAAUUCAAAAAUCACGAUUCUGGGGAAAAAGACCCCCAAAUCCAGAGCCCUGUAGUACCAGCCCUGCUAGUUCAACUGAAGGCUGCAGCAUGCCCUGAUCUAAACGGGAAAACACAACAAGGAAAAUAUCAGAAGCACAAGCCAGAGCUGUUGUCCUCCUUACUCAUCCACUCAUCCAUCAAGAUAAGUCAGCUCUCAUCCAACAAGCAACUUAGCCGCUGACACACUGCCAGCUGGUCCCAUCAAGUCAGGUGGCAUGGGUCACCCAACAAGCUGCCUGUUGGAAUAGCUGGCUGUUACAUAGCCUGUUAAGAACCAGGCGAACAAGACCACCAAAAUGUGGCAGCUGCUGUCCAGACAAGACACCUUCAGGCAGAGCUGGGUGCAGCCCGGUGACUCGUGCAGACAACAUCUGGGUUUUAGUUGGAAGACGGCCUCUGCAUUGGAUGAAGCUCUUCCCACAGACUGCAGAUGCCCUGUGGAUGGCUACCUUCCUCUCUGUGAUGGACUGCACCCUUGAGCCAGCCCAAAGAAACACUUCUUUCCCUGAGUCACAUUCACCGGGCAUUUUUUCACAGCAAAGAGGAAAGUGACUAACACAAGUUGUUACCCCAUUUCUGCUAGAUCUGGGCUCCUUUCAUUAGUCAACAUGACAUGGAUUGAACACCCACUCUGCCCUACUACUGAUCUACAAUGAAGGUGCCGGAACAAGGAAGUUAUGGGAACAAGACAGAGUUGGUUCAAAGAGAUGAUCGACAACAGCGCAGACAUGAAUGAGCAGGAUAAUGCAUGAUGACAGCCCAGUGAAGACCAUAAAGCAGAGGAUCCGGGGGCCAAGGAGAAUAUGUCUGCCCUGUGGUCAGGGAGGUCAACUUUUGGGGAAGUAUUUAACAUUGUCCCUGAGGCCUGUGCUUUGAAUCUUCUUGGCCCAUUUCUUAAUAUCAUGGCUCUCAUGACUUGAUCUUAGUGCCUUUCCUCCGCCAUUUCAGCUGUAGGACCCCAGGAAGGCUUCUCAGAGCCUCCCACAGCAAGCCAUAUGCUAUCCUACUACUUAUAAACCCACACUCUAUAAUGGUCCUUCACUCUGGCACCUCAUUAUAGAAAGUAGGAUGAAGUUGGCACCGAGAAUGAUUCCUAUUUGCUUCAGCCACAGUAAUCUCUUCAUUUUCUAAGACUUCAGUUAUGUGUGUUCAAUCAUCAUGGGAAAAUAUUGAAAAGAAAAUUAUUAGAAAUAAGCAGUUUAUUAAUUUAAGUGACUUUUAUUAUAGCAUUUUGUUAUAUGGCUCUACUUUGUUAUUAGUUGUUGGUAAUCAUUUACUAUGCUUUAUAAAUUAUUUGUCAAUAUUAAUAUUUGUUUAUAGGAGAAAAGAGUGCAUAUAGGAUUUGAUGCUAUCUGGGUUUCAAGCAUUCACUGGGGGUCUGGGAAUGGAUCCUCUGAGAUAAAAGGGGCAUGUCUCUUUUAAUACGCAUAAGGUUUACACUGCAGUACUGCUAAGUUCACUUUACUAUUUGGGACUCUGCUGAAAUUAUCUCUUUGCAGAGGAAGAGUAUCUCACCACCCACAUCAGCUUCCUCCUUCACCCAGAACAGAUUCCCAGAAAAUAAAAGUUCCUAAGACUGUUCUAGAAAGUUCAGAGACACAGAUGAGAACUUUGCUCUUUAAUCAUGCUUCAGGAAUGCAGGUGUUAUCUGUACACACUAUUAUCAAUUGUCUUUGAGAUCGCUGGCUAGAGUAAGCUUGGUCAUGAUUUCUAAUCAUUAGAGAUAGGUUGGGAGUUUUCAAUUCAUUUAUUCUCUUUAUUGUAGCUAAUUGAAGAAUACGUUGCCUUUGGAUUCAAAUAGCCAUUACUGGUUCUCUUUGCCAAGCCCUAUGCAAGACAUAUCUCCUUGGGAUUUUGUGAUGGCUUAGUGCUCUGUGUCAGGGAUAGAGAGGUGAGGCUCAGGUGAAUUAAGGGCUAGCUCAAAGUCAAAUGUAGGGGUAGAAACACGUGCAAGUCUUCUGACCCCAGUACAUGGACUUGCAGGCUGGAGCUCUCCUACCUUUCUUUUUACACACAGUAUUGACUCACAUCUUGAGGAAACUGAGGUUAAAUGUAAUGCGCAAGCAUUCAUCUUUGUAAAGAUUUGUUUCAUUGGGACCACUGGUUACAAGUGAAAGCUACAGUGGAUGUGUCCAUGACAUAGAUUAAACACGAUUACAGAGGAGGUGGUGUAUCCCUCACAUCUUGACUUCUCUUACGUUUAAUAUAACCCUGAAGAGGACACAGAAGUUCAAAUAGAGCAUAUGGCAUUCAUAAGGUUACAUACAUGUAAUCAUACAUGAUACUUUUAUUGUAAAUAAAAAACACUAUUUAUAAUGGCAACAAGUGCAUUAUACAGAUAAAACAUAGGACUGCAGCUUCAUUAUUUAUUAAAGGAAAGAAAAAAAAUCUACACAAGUGAUCGGGGAAACAUAGUCUUACUCUGGUGGCAUUUGUCCCUAGAUUGUCCCUAGAUUGCUUUACAGAUUUCAUCACAAUUCAAAUCAAAAUCAUAGCAGGAAUUUGUGGGAUUGUGAUAAACUCAUUUUGAGUUUUCUAUGAAAGUAAUAAAGGCUUUUGAGUAAUCAACACUGAAAAAGAAAACACAGGAAUGGGAGCACUCGACUAGUAAAUGAGACAUUGUUGAGAAGGUGCAGAACAAACAAAUAAACCGAUGGAGAAUCCCUAAAGCAAGGUCACUUGUGCUGCAGUGCACUGACAGAACUCAACACAGCAGCUGUUCUUCAUCGGAGAGGCUGCGACCAUGUAAAAUCAGGAAAUCUUCAAGAUCAGGCCUGUUGACCACUGAUGCUCCCUUACAGGGGAAAAGGUGGAGAGAACAUGGGGAAGCUUAUUACACCUUCUCUUGAGACUCCAGCUUUUUCUUCCUGAACCUCCCAGCCAGUUGUAUAUAAUUCUGUUCCACCUGCACAUGGUCUCAUAGUCUUGGGAGUAUACAGUCUGUGGCAGGCUAGUGGAAGGGAGUGACUCCAUAUUUGCAGUGGUGGGGAAGUCACCCAUCAUUGACAUUGGGAGUGGUUGUGUGGCUACUUUGGGGUCAUUAAUAUACCUAUAAAUAAUUCUUCACCCAUGCUCUGUAAGUAAAAAUAAAGUUAUUAACUCAC
This 3645-nucleotide small RNA is filed under the name Rattus norvegicus (Norway rat). RNAcentral's name for it is "uncharacterized LOC103691652". The record is from RNAcentral. Lineage: Eukaryota; Metazoa; Chordata; Mammalia; Rodentia; Muridae.